RNAcentral lists this ribosomal RNA (799 nucleotides) under Flavobacterium resistens. RNAcentral describes it as "bacterial SSU rRNA". It matches the Rfam family "Bacterial small subunit ribosomal RNA", at positions 56 to 861 of the family's 1533-position model. Lineage: Bacteria; Pseudomonadati; Bacteroidota; Flavobacteriia; Flavobacteriales; Flavobacteriaceae. The record is from RNAcentral.
UGCAAGUCGAGGGGUAUAGCACUUCGGUGCUAGAGACCGGCGCACGGGUGCGUAACGCGUAUGCAAUCUACCUUUCACAGAGGGAUAGCCCAGAGAAAUUUGGAUUAAUACCUCAUAGCAUAACGACCUGGCAUCAGGAUGUUAUUAAAGUCACAACGGUGAAAGAUGAGCAUGCGUCCCAUUAGCUAGUUGGUAAGGUAACGGCUUACCAAGGCUACGAUGGGUAGGGGUCCUGAGAGGGAGAUCCCCCACACUGGUACUGAGACACGGACCAGACUCCUACGGGAGGCAGCAGUGAGGAAUAUUGGACAAUGGGCGCAAGCCUGAUCCAGCCAUGCCGCGUGCAGGAUGACGGUCCUAUGGAUUGUAAACUGCUUUUAUACGAGAAGAAACAACAUUACGUGUAAUGUCUUGACGGUAUCGUAAGAAUAAGGAUCGGCUAACUCCGUGCCAGCAGCCGCGGUAAUACGGAGGAUCCAAGCGUUAUCCGGAAUCAUUGGGUUUAAAGGGUCCGUAGGCGGUUUGGUAAGUCAGUGGUGAAAGCCCAUCGCUCAACGGUGGAACGGCCAUUGAUACUGCCAGACUUGAAUUAUUAGGAAGUAACUAGAAUAUGUAGUGUAGCGGUGAAAUGCUUAGAGAUUACAUGGAAUACCAAUUGCGAAGGCAGGUUACUACUAAUGGAUUGACGCUGAUGGACGAAAGCGUGGGUAGCGAACAGGAUUAGAUACCCUGGUAGUCCACGCCGUAAACGAUGGAUACUAGCUGUUGGGCGCAAGUUCAGUGGCUAACCGAAAGUGAU